AUAUGAGUCAUACAAAAGAGAAGUAACAUAGAUGAGCCUUUUCAGAGAGCUGAUGGUGCUGUGAAUCAGUAGGGAUUAUUAUGCGAAUGGACUUUUGGACGAAGUUUUGAAUCCUUAGUAGGAACUUCCGGGAACUCCCGAUACAGAGUAAGGUCGUUGUUGGACGACUGAAUGAGAAAUGCCCUGUUUGGCAUACCAUUGAGGUGGCACCGUGGAAUCCCCGCCCUCAAA
Molecule: non-coding RNA, 231 nt
Organism: Enterococcus sp. 3H8_DIV0648
Lineage: Bacteria; Bacillati; Bacillota; Bacilli; Lactobacillales; Enterococcaceae
Source: Rfam